RNAcentral lists this ribosomal RNA (264 nucleotides) under uncultured bacterium. RNAcentral's name for it is "partial 16S ribosomal RNA". It matches the Rfam family "Bacterial small subunit ribosomal RNA", at positions 90 to 354 of the family's 1533-position model. The record is from RNAcentral.
ACUUAGCGGCGGACGGGUGAGUAACGCGUGGGUAACCUGCCUUAUACAGGGGGAUAACAGUUAGAAAUGACUGCUAAUACCGCAUAAGCGCACGGGAACGCAUGUUUCUGUGUGAAAAACUGAGGUAGUAUAAGAUGGACCCGCGUCUGAUUAGCUGGUUGGUGGGGUAACGGCCUACCAAGGCGACGAUCAGUAGCCGGCCUGAGAGGGUGACCGGCCACAUUGGGACUGAGACACGGCCCAAACUCCUACGGAAGGCAGCAG